UUCGGUGGCCAUAGCGGCGGGGUCACACCCGUUCCCAUUCCGAACACGGAAGUUAAGCCCGCCAGCGCCGAUGGUACUUGGGUGGAGACGCCCUGGGAGAGUAGGACGCCGCCGGAU
RNAcentral lists this ribosomal RNA (117 nucleotides) under Acidimicrobiales bacterium. Lineage: Bacteria; Bacillati; Actinomycetota; Acidimicrobiia; Acidimicrobiales. The record is from RNAcentral. RNAcentral also lists the same sequence under 1 other name.